This 117-nucleotide non-coding RNA is filed under the name Nomascus leucogenys (northern white-cheeked gibbon). The record is from Rfam by way of RNAcentral. Lineage: Eukaryota; Metazoa; Chordata; Mammalia; Primates; Hylobatidae.
GCCGGGCGCGGUGGCCCACGCCUGUAAUCCCAGUACUUUGGGAGGCCGAGACGGGCGGAUCACCUGAGGUCGGGAGUUCGAGACCAGCCUGACCAACAUGGAGAAACCCCGUCUUUA